Molecule: ribosomal RNA, 412 nt
Filed under: uncultured bacterium
Lineage: Bacteria
Description: bacterial SSU rRNA
Rfam family: Bacterial small subunit ribosomal RNA
Source: RNAcentral
GACGAACGCUGGCGGCGUGCUUAACACAUGCAAGUCGAGCGGAGUAAAGGAGAGCUUGCUUUUCUUUACUUAGCGGCGGACGGGUGAGUAACACGUGGGCAACCUGCCCUAUGGAGGGGAAUAACAGGGAGAAAUCUUUGCUAAUACCGCAUAAAUCCAAAGCUUCGCAUGAAGUAAUGGGUAAAGGAGAAAUCCGCCAUAGGAUGGGCCCGCGUCCCAUUAGCUAGUUGGUGAGAUAACAGCCCACCAAGGCGACGAUGGGUAGCCGACCUGAGAGGGUGAACGGCCACAUUGGAACUGAGAGACGGUCCAGACUCCUACGGGAGGCAGCAGUGGGGAAUAUUGCACAAUGGGGGGAACCCUGAUGCAGCAACGCCGCGUGAGCGAUGAAGGUCUUCGGAUUGUAAAGCUC